This 672-nucleotide ribosomal RNA is filed under the name alpha proteobacterium AP-19. Its description in RNAcentral is "bacterial SSU rRNA". It matches the Rfam family "Bacterial small subunit ribosomal RNA", at positions 24 to 747 of the family's 1533-position model. Lineage: Bacteria; Pseudomonadati; Pseudomonadota; Alphaproteobacteria. The record is from RNAcentral.
UCAGAAUGAACGCUGGCGGCAGGCCUAACACAUGCAAGUCGAACGAAGUCUUCGGACUUAGUGGCGGACRGGUGAGUAACGCGUGGGAACAUACCCAAAGGUACGGAAUAGCCUCGGGAAACUGGGAGUAAUACCGUAUGUGCUUCGGGGGAAAGAUUUAUCGCCUUUGGAUUGGCCCGCGUUGGAUUAGGUAGUUGGUGGGGUAAUGGCCUACCAAGCCGACGAUCCAUAGCUGGUUUGAGAGGAUGAUCAGCCACACUGGGACUGAGACACGGCCCAGACUCUACGGGAGGCAGCAGUGGGGAAUCUUAGACAAUGGGCGCAAGCCUGAUCUAGCCAUGCCGCGUGAUCGAUGAAGGCCUUAGGGUUGUAAAGAUCUUUCAGAUGGGAAGAUAAUGACGGUACCAUCAGAAGAAGCCCCGGCUAACUCCGUGCCAGCAGCCGCGGUAAUACGGAGGGGGCUAGCGUUAUUCGGAAUUACUGGGCGUAAAGCGCACGUAGGCGGAUUAGCAAGUCAGAGGUGAAAUCCCAGGGCUCAACCUUGGAACUGCCUUUGAAACUGCUAGUCUUGAGUUCGAGAGAGGUGAGUGGAAUUCCGAGUGUAGAGUGAAAUUCGUAGAUAUUCGGAGGAACACCAGUGCGAAGGCGGCUKACUGGCUCGAUACUGACGCU